UGCUCGUUACCUUACUGAGACAUCUCUUGUGACCGUGCAUGGUCAGUGUCACCAACGGCGCAACGAGGCGGAGCGCCGGGAUCGAGCGUGUAAAAAUGCUCUGCAUUAGCAGCUCCUGUAGUGUAGAAUGAACACUUCAUCCAUCGAUUGCCGCUAUGCAUUUCGUGUUGUGGUCACAGAUAAUCUGGGCAAAUGUAAAACUACCAACUGGAGAGUGCUAUGUUGUUAGGGACGUGUCCCAAAGUGUCAUCACAUGGCUGUGGAGACUAGUACACACCUGGAGGAAUAUUUCUACAACAGUGAUACGGAGUGAUAUGGAGUGCAGAUGGAUGAAUAGAAAAGAAAACUGAGAUGAUGGGAAGUAAGUACAUGUCAUGUAAGUAAUUAGUUGAUUGUGUGGAAGAAAUUUGAAACAAGAUAAAAUAAAAGUUUCACUCAAACAUACAUGUAACAUCCUGAUUAGUAUUCCGUCUUCAUUUUUCCAGGUAGUGGCACUCCACACGCUCCGAUUACCUGGUGUGUGUGUGUGUGUGUGUGUGUGUGUGUGUUUGUGUGUGUUUGUGUGUAUGUGGGCACUCCAGUCUCCCCGGAGGUGUGGGUUCGAAUCCCACCGCUGCCACCAGUGUUAGCUGCUCCCGGCUAAUGAAGUCCCCUCACACCAAAACACAAGAGUUUUAUAGUAUUGAAUUAUGCAAGUCUUGAGUGUAGACAAGAAGGAGAACAGGACAAUGACAACUCAAGACUAGUGCCAGCUAGUUCGGUUCGUAGGUACACUUAUGCCUGAUUGUGUUGGGUCUGUUGCCAACAGGCUCGGCUGCUUGAAGGUGUAAUGUUGUACCUGCCACCUUUGUUGGUUCCAGGGUUCAUAUACUUUCUAUUUGAAGUAUACAUACCUGUUAACCAUGGACUGCUUCUGGCUAGAUUAACUCUAGUGUAAUCAAUGGUGCUAGUGAAGCUUAUAUCAGAUCCACUCUGAUUUAGCCACCCACACUAGUAGCAAGUAUUACAUUCACUGGGGGCAGGGGUAACUGCAGUUGGAUCCCGGGACGGAUACCCUGAUUCCGUCAAUCCUUUUUCUGCAACUUGUCCUCGCCCACUUACUGAGGUGUGGUGAGCCCAUAAGUGGGAUCAUUUUCAAGUCCACCCAGAGUUUUGGGGAUUUCAGAGGGUUUCAGCCAUUGGGCGGUUCAAUAGCCAAUAGAGUCAUCUUUCCAAGAUUCCUUUUGAGUCUCUCUCCCCUCUCCCGGGGAGACCCACGUGACCCAGUUUUGACAGUGAGCAACAAGUACAAGUGUGUGUGUGUGUGUGUGUGUGUGUGUGUGUGUGUGUGUGUGUGUGCGUGUGCUUGCGUCCAUAGCCCUUCCAAAGACCCUUGGAGUGCCUGAGGACAUUGGUCACAUCGUACGGGAGCGGCGUUUGCGCUGGCUUGGACACGUGACACGGAUGGAAGAUUACCGGUUGCCCAAGUGUGUUCUCUUCGGUGAACUGCCUGCCCCGCGUCCCGCGCAUGGUCCAGGCAAGAGGUGGAGGGACGUCAUUAUGGAUGACGUUUCGUCGGUUGAGCCACCGGUACCAACAUGUUGAUGGUACGGUGCAGCCCAGAACAGUCCGGAGUGGCGUACCAUUGCCCGUCGACCACCCAAGGCACCCUCUGCUGCUGGCUACGGUUGCGCCUGCGGCCGCACGUUCCGUCGAAGGGGUCGACCUGAAACGCCAUCAGUCGUUCUGUUGUGGACUGGAGAAAUAACUAUGCGCUAUCAUUGUUACGCAAUGGGCAAGGUCAAGGUUCAAGGCAAGAUGCACGUCAUGAAGCAUUCGGCCCGUGAUCUCAGUGUCUGGUAGCUUAUGUAGCUGUGGUUGUAUGGGUGAUCAAAGAUGAUACUCUGCAUAUCAAUUUAAGUGUGAAGUAUUUGUGCUCUGCCCAUACAACACAGCAACAAAGACAGAGUUACAUAGCCAGUGGCUGGCAAUGGUGAAGUAAUCAUAUGAAUAUGUGUUAGUAUUCCUGACCUAUUGUAAGCAAGUAAGCUCAUCAUUACUACAAGACUAAUAGUAUUACUAGCAGCAGACAUGACGUCAUUCUCCUGUUUACAUACCUCUAAUAUCUGUAUCUACAGCUGCAGCAGUAGUGGGUACCAUGGCAACACAGUACACACUUUAUCUCCCUCCCGUGUUCAGUUUUACUGCUCUGCACACACCAUCGUGGUGUGGUUGGCGUGUGUUGUGUGGUUUUGUUCUCAGCAUCUUCAGCAUAGUACACGUAGUGAAUCAUGUACCGGGUUACUUUCCAUCGCCUGCUGCCUCCGCCGCCGUUUACGUAUCAUUUUUAUUGAGAUGACGUGAGUUUACCGUGAUCAGUGAUUUCCCCGUCACCCCGGCUUGCCUGCUGUCAUACUGAAAGCUCUCCAAUCUAUUGAAUCUAUCCUUUUUGUUCUUGCCUGCAACAGCAAUCAACACUCUACCAUCUAUUUACUGUUGUUUUGUACGUCGCUGCACGUUUGAGCCA
This is a long non-coding RNA of Sycon ciliatum, 2506 nucleotides long. RefSeq lists it as uncharacterized. The record is from RefSeq and is a predicted model, not a curated record. NCBI's taxonomy places the organism in Eukaryota, Metazoa, Porifera, Calcarea, Leucosolenida, Sycettidae. The transcript has 2 exons.